ACUUCUCUGGUGGAAUUGGUAGACACGUUGGUUUUAGGAACCAAUGCUUUCAGCGUGAGGGUUCGAGUCCCUCGGGAAGUA
This is a transfer RNA of 81 nucleotides. It matches the Rfam family "tRNA". Rfam says of the family: Transfer RNA (tRNA) molecules are approximately 80 nucleotides in length. Their secondary structure includes four short double-helical elements and three loops (D, anti-codon, and T loops). Further hydrogen bonds mediate the characteristic L-shaped molecular structure. tRNAs have two regions of fundamental functional importance: the anti-codon, which is responsible for specific mRNA codon recognition, and the 3' end, to which the tRNAs corresponding amino acid is attached (by aminoacyl-tRNA synthetases). tRNAs cope with the degeneracy of the genetic code in two manners: having more than one tRNA (with a specific anti-codon) for a particular amino acid; and 'wobble' base-pairing, i.e. permitting non-standard base-pairing at the 3rd anti-codon position.